This 494-nucleotide ribosomal RNA is filed under the name uncultured bacterium. RNAcentral's name for it is "bacterial SSU rRNA". It matches the Rfam family "Bacterial small subunit ribosomal RNA", at positions 903 to 1397 of the family's 1533-position model. The record is from RNAcentral.
AAAGGAAUUGACGGGGGCCCGCACAAGCGGUGGAGCAUGUGGUUUAAUACGUCACUAACCGUAGAACCUUACCCAGGCUUGACAUCUAGGGAAUCUGGAUGAAAGUCUAGAGUGCCCUCGGGAGCCCUAAGACAGGUGUUGCAUGGCUGUCGUCAGCUCGUGUCGUGAGAUGUUGGGUUAAGUCCCGCAACGAGCGCAACCCUCAUUCGAUGUUGCCAGCGUAAAGUCGGGAACUCUUCGAAAACUGCCCGUGUAAGCGGGAGGAAGGUGGGGAUGACGUCAAGUCAGCAUGGCCCUUACGCCUGGGGCUACACACAUGCUACAAUGGACGCUAACAAAGGGCAGCAAUACCGCGAGGUGGAGCGAAUCUCACAAAUGCGUCCUCAGUUCGGAUUGUAGUCUGCAACUCGACUACAUGAAGUCGGAAUCGCUAGUAACCGCAGGUCAGCUAAACUGCGGUGAAUACGUUCCCGGGCCUUGUACACACCGCCCGU